CCCGCUCAGAAACUCAAAUGAAUUGACGGGGGCCCGCACAAGCGGUGGAGCAUGUGGUUUAAUUCGAUGAUACGCGAGGAACCUUACCUGGGCUCAAAUGUAUGUUGACGUAUUCUGAAAGGGAUACUUCUUCGGACAAUAUACAAGGUGCUGCAUGGUUGUCGUCAGCUCGUGCCGUGAGGUGUCGGGUUAAGUCCCAUAACGAGCGCAACCCCUAUCAUUAGUUGCCAUCAGGUCAAGCUGGGGACUCUAAUGAAACUGCCUACGCAAGUAGUGAGGAAGGUGGGGAUGACGUCAAAUCAGCACGGCCCUUACGUCCAGGGCUACACACGUGCUACAAUGGCCGAUACAGAGGGCAGCUACCUGGUGACAGGAUGCAAAUCUCCAAAGUCGGUCUCAGUUCGGAUCGGAGUCUGCAACCCGACUCCGUGAAGUUGGAUUCGCUAGUAAUCGCGCAUCAGCCAUGGCGCGGUGAAUACGUUCCCGGGCCUU
Molecule: ribosomal RNA, 492 nt
Filed under: uncultured Sphingobacteriales bacterium
Lineage: Bacteria; Pseudomonadati; Bacteroidota; Sphingobacteriia; Sphingobacteriales
Description: bacterial SSU rRNA
Rfam family: Bacterial small subunit ribosomal RNA
Source: RNAcentral